This is a non-coding RNA of Procambarus clarkii (red swamp crayfish), 674 nucleotides long. The record is from RefSeq and is a predicted model, not a curated record. NCBI's taxonomy places the organism in Eukaryota, Metazoa, Arthropoda, Malacostraca, Decapoda, Cambaridae.
AGUACUUAGGUGGACCUGAGGGUGCUAGCCAGUGUUGGCUAGUCGAACGCUGUGGACAUUACUCCAGGAAGAACUAGUCAAGUGAGCUAGUUGGGCACUGUGGACUUCACUCCUGGAGGUACUAGCUAGUGGGGCUAGGGGAGUGCUGUGGUUGUUCGCUAUGGACUUCACUAUUGGAAGAUGCUAGCCAGUGGGGCUAGGUGAGCACUUUGGACAUUGCUGGUUGAGCAUACUAGCGAGUGUGUCGAGGAGGGGGAGUGUUUGAAAACAUCUCCAUAACGGCAACCAGUUUAAGGGCUAGUGAUGUGUGUUAACGUAAUUGAGAGGGUUACUGGAGACCCUCUUUACUGUUACUGGAGUUACUGGAGUUACUGGUUACUGGAUCUCGGUGAUCUGCCUUACUGUGUUUGCAUUCUUAUCAAGCAUUCUUGCAUUAUUCACGCAUUCCUGCAUUUUCUGCAAUUGCUUGAAUUGCAAUUUGAGUCCUAAGUGAGCACCCGUAUUGUUCAGUUAGUUCAUUACAUCAGCCCCAACGGCAAGGCGAGGACUCCUUGCUAUACUGCUGGCUGGACAGCUGUUUUUAAGUGUCACUUCGGGUUAUUAACAUAACGUCAAGAUUGUUGUGCCUUGUAUUAGGUUAAUUCUUUAUGAAUAAAUUGUUAUUGUUCCCAAAA